GCGAUCAUACCAGCACUAAUGCACCGGAUCCCAUCAGAACUCCGAAGUUAAGCGUGUUUGGGCGAGAGCAGUACUAGGAUGGGUGACCCCCUGGGAAGUCCUCGUGUUGCACCU
This 114-nucleotide ribosomal RNA is filed under the name Zingiber officinale. Lineage: Eukaryota; Viridiplantae; Streptophyta; Magnoliopsida; Zingiberales; Zingiberaceae. The record is from RNAcentral.